RNAcentral lists this ribosomal RNA (301 nucleotides) under uncultured bacterium. Its description in RNAcentral is "partial 16S ribosomal RNA". It matches the Rfam family "Bacterial small subunit ribosomal RNA", at positions 509 to 808 of the family's 1533-position model. The record is from RNAcentral.
CAGUCGCCGCGGGAAUACGAAGGGGGCUAGCAUUACUCAGAAUUACUGGGCGUAAAGGGCGCGUAGGCGGCACGAUUAGUCAGGCGUGAAAUUCCUGGGCUCAACCUGGGGACUGCGCUUGAUACGGUCGAGCUAGAGGAUGGAAGAGGGUUGUGGAAUUCCCAGUGUAGAGGUGAAAUUCGUAGAUAUUGGGAAGAACACCGGUGGCGAAGGCGGCAACCUGGUCCAUUACUGACGCUGAGGCGCGACAGCGUGGGGAGCAAACAGGAUUAGAUACCCCUGUAGUCCCUGUCUUUAUACC